UUUAACUAUUUCUUUUGAUUAUGGAGAAUUAAAGGCAUGAAGAUUGUUUAUACAUGUUUGCGAAAGCUUAUAAGUGAGUAAAUUCUAUAUUUAGAUUUGUAUCAGGAUAAAUAAUAUAAUAUUUUUUUAACCUAAGACGCAUAGUUUUAUAACCACGUUUUAACUGAAACAAAGAAAAACGAAUGACAGCAGUAAAGAAACCUAAACAAUUAAUUAAUGUUAGAUUUGGUUUUCUUCUUUAACUUUGUCUAAAUAAGUGCCAGCAGACGCGGUUAAACUUAUGAAGUGAGUCUUUAACUAAAAACAGAUUAAAUGUGUAGAAAUUUUUAUAUUACAUAAUUAACAUUUUUGAAUUGGUAAAAUAUACAAAAUAAGUAUUUCUAAAUGAUAAGUUUUUAUGUAAAAUAUUUUGAAACAUGAAAAAAAAGGUAAUAAAUAGGAUUAGAUACCCUAGUAAUCUUUUUUGUAAAUUAAUAUAUUUAUCUGAACAAUACACUUUUAAAAGUGAAAAUCAAAGAUUUUGGCUGUUUACUUUACCAACUAGAGGAAUAUGUAAUUUAAUUCGAUUUUCCGCGAAAAACCUUACCUAUUUUUGAAAAAUUCAAGUGUUGCAUGGUUGUCGUCAGUUUAAAUUUAUAAUUUAAAUAUAACCUUAAAUAAGGAGAAGUCAAAUGUUAUGGCCUUUAUAAAUAGGGGUAUUAUGUAUUACAAUUUUUAAAAUAAUUAAAAUUUAAAAUUGGAAAAUUAAUGUAAUUUAAUUAGAAAGAGGAUUUAGUAGUAAUUGAAGAAAUAAUGCUUCAAUGAAGAGGUUAAUGUAUUAGUACAAAUUGCCCGUCGCCUUUAUUAAUAUUAAAAUUAGAAAUAGAGCAAGUCGUAACAUAGUGGGUGUAAGGGAACUUGUACCUGCAGUAAA
This 913-nucleotide ribosomal RNA is filed under the name Proboscidactyla flavicirrata. RNAcentral describes it as "12S ribosomal RNA". The stretch from base 486 to 906 matches the Rfam family "Microsporidia small subunit ribosomal RNA", at positions 752 to 1303 of the family's 1311-position model. The record is from RNAcentral. Lineage: Eukaryota; Metazoa; Cnidaria; Hydrozoa; Anthoathecata; Proboscidactylidae.